AGGGGGUUAGUCCAAAAAAGACCUUUGAUUUCGACUCAAAAAACCAUGGUUAAACCCCAUGACCCCCUU
RNAcentral lists this transfer RNA (69 nucleotides) under Rasbora paucisqualis. RNAcentral's name for it is "tRNA-Arg". It matches the Rfam family "tRNA". Rfam says of the family: Transfer RNA (tRNA) molecules are approximately 80 nucleotides in length. Their secondary structure includes four short double-helical elements and three loops (D, anti-codon, and T loops). Lineage: Eukaryota; Metazoa; Chordata; Actinopteri; Cypriniformes; Danionidae. The record is from RNAcentral.